This 434-nucleotide ribosomal RNA is filed under the name uncultured bacterium. RNAcentral's name for it is "bacterial SSU rRNA". It matches the Rfam family "Bacterial small subunit ribosomal RNA", at positions 355 to 786 of the family's 1533-position model. The record is from RNAcentral.
UGAGGAAUAUUGGUCAAUGGGCGGGAGCCUGAACCAGCCAAGCCGCGUGAGGGAUGAAGGCCCUAUGGGUCGUAAACCUCUUUUGUCAGGGAACAAAAGCGAGUAUGUAUACUAGUCUGAGUGUACCUGAAGAAAAAGCAUCGGCUAACUCCGUGCCAGCAGCCGCGGUAAUACGGAGGAUGCGAGCGUUAUCCGGAUUUAUUGGGUUUAAAGGGUGCGUAGGCGGCGAUGCAAGUCAGCGGUAAAAGCCCGGGGCUCAACCCCGGCGAGCCGUUGAAACUGCAGUGCUGGAGAAGGCGAGAGGUACGCGGAAUGCGCAGUGUAGCGGUGAAAUGCUUAGAUAUUGCGCAGAACUCCGAUUGCGAAGGCAGCGUACUGGCGCCUGACUGACGCUGAGGCACGAAAGCGUGGGGGAUCGAACAGGAUUAGAUACC